CACGCAGGCGGUUCUGCGCGUUUCGAGUGACAGCGGGUGGCUUACCUGCCCGAGUAUUCGAAAGACGGUAGGACUUGAGGGCCAGAGAGGGACACGGAAUUCCGGGUGGAGUGGUGAAAUGCGUAGAGAUCCGGAGGAACACCGAAGGCGAAGGCAGUGUCCUGGCUGGUGACUGACGCUGAGGUGCGAAAGCCAGGGGAGCGAACGGGAUUAGAUACCCCGGUAGUCCUGGCCGUAAACGAUGACCACCAGGUGUGGGAGGUAUCGACCCCUUCCGUGCCGGAGGAAACCCACUAAGUGGUCCGCCUGGGGAGUACGGUCGCAAGAUUAAA
RNAcentral lists this ribosomal RNA (332 nucleotides) under uncultured bacterium. RNAcentral's name for it is "bacterial SSU rRNA". It matches the Rfam family "Bacterial small subunit ribosomal RNA", at positions 568 to 898 of the family's 1533-position model. The record is from RNAcentral.